This 69-nucleotide transfer RNA is filed under the name Lepilemur edwardsi (Milne-Edwards's sportive lemur). Its description in RNAcentral is "tRNA-Phe". Lineage: Eukaryota; Metazoa; Chordata; Mammalia; Primates; Lepilemuridae. The record is from RNAcentral.
GUUAAUGUAGCUUAGUUAUACCAAAGCAAGGUACUGAAAAUCCUAGACGAGUUAAAUACUCCAUGAACA